RNAcentral lists this ribosomal RNA (274 nucleotides) under uncultured bacterium. RNAcentral's name for it is "partial 16S ribosomal RNA". It matches the Rfam family "Bacterial small subunit ribosomal RNA", at positions 523 to 796 of the family's 1533-position model. The record is from RNAcentral.
CUACGGAGGGUGCAAGCGUUAUCCGGAUUUAUUGGGUUUAAAGGGUUCGUAGGCGGACAAGUCAGUCAGUGGUGAAAGCCUGUGGCUCAACCAUAGAACUGCCAUUGAUACUGCUUGUCUUGAGUACACUUGAAGUGGGCGGAAUGAGUUAUGUAGCGGUGAAAUGCAUAGAUAUAACUUAGAACACCGAUUGCGAAGGCAGCUCACUAAAUUGUAACUGACGCUGAGGAACGAAAGCGUGGGGAGCGAACAGGAUUAGAAACCCUAGUAGUCC